UUGAACCGAAACAUAAUUUUAGGAAAAUUAAUACGCUUAUACUGCUUCACAAUAGUGUCAUGCUUGAACUUUAUCAUAUAACGCAAAAUGCUUGUUUUGUAUUUGAAAAAGUUAGUGAUACAUAGGAAAUUCCUAAUCCCUUAAACUUUUCCCUCCUUGAAUACGUUGUUAAAUUUCC
Molecule: long non-coding RNA, 178 nt
Organism: Ipomoea nil (Japanese morning glory)
Lineage: Eukaryota; Viridiplantae; Streptophyta; Magnoliopsida; Solanales; Convolvulaceae
Exons: 3
Source: RefSeq, a predicted model, not a curated record